CCGUUGGGCUGCACCUGAUCGCUUCCGCGCAACCGACGAUACGGAUUGUGAAAGUCAAGAAGAACUCCUCUAAAUUGCCCUUGUUUAAAACCAUCAUCACGAGAGCCCCAUUUGCGCGGCGUCCAUGAUGCGAUGAUGACCUGAAGCAAGAUCCGGACAUUCCAUAUCCUUUCAUCACUACAAUAUUUUGUCUGGCUCGCUGCUGGUAGUUGUAACAGUACUGCGUAUCCUAUGCUGCCAGGGUGAAACUGAGGGAAUGAAUGCCUAGCGCAUGUUAUGAAUCCUCCUACUUACGAAAUUAUCCCUUAAGUCUCUAGAAACACGGUCACGUUUUUAAAGUGCCCAGACAGAAUACUAUGACCGGCCUGCUACUGAUUUGGGGCGUAGCAAAGAACUGACUCGGAUGAAACUGACAUGAAGGGGCCUUGAUCUCAAGGAAGGAGGAGGACGGCAGGCCACUGAAUCCGUGUAUCCUCCCGUGUAGCGAGUAGUCGACACAGGUAGGCAGAUGCGUUCAGUGAGUUUUGUCAUUUCGUUGCUGUCAAACAUUUGGUUCUUUUCAGUAGAGGUAUCAACUUCCGUCGGUCACUACGGAUGGAACAGUGACUUACCUCUAUGUGGUUAGAGGCGACAAGGUGUCGUCGCUACAUAGUAUAUUUG
This is a non-coding RNA of Neurospora crassa OR74A, 660 nucleotides long. The record is from RefSeq and is a predicted model, not a curated record. Lineage: Eukaryota; Fungi; Ascomycota; Sordariomycetes; Sordariales; Sordariaceae.